UACAGAGGUCCCAAGCGUUGUUCGGAUUCACUGGGCGUAAAGGGUGCGUAGGUGGCCGGUUAAGUCUGACGUGAAAUCUCCGAGCCUAACUCGGAAACUGCAUCGGAAACUAUCCGGCUCGAGCACAGUAGAGGCAGGUGGAAUUCCCGGUGUAGCGGUGGAAUGCGUAGAGAUCGGGAAGAACAUCAGUGGCGAAGGCGGCCUGCUGGGCUGUUGCUGACGCUGAGGCGCGACAGCGUGGGGAGCAAACAGG
Molecule: ribosomal RNA, 253 nt
Filed under: uncultured bacterium
Lineage: Bacteria
Description: partial 16S ribosomal RNA
Rfam family: Bacterial small subunit ribosomal RNA
Source: RNAcentral